RNAcentral lists this ribosomal RNA (403 nucleotides) under bacterium. Its description in RNAcentral is "partial 16S ribosomal RNA". It matches the Rfam family "Bacterial small subunit ribosomal RNA", at positions 355 to 776 of the family's 1533-position model. The record is from RNAcentral.
UGGGGAAUAUUGCACAAUGGGGGAAACCCUGAUGCAGCGACGCCGCGUGAACGAAGAAGGUAUUCGUAUCGUAAAGUUCUGUCCUAUGGGAAGAUAAUGACAGUACCAUAGAAGAAAGCUCCGGCUAAAUACGUGCCAGCAGCCGCGGUAAUACGUAUGGAGCGAGCGUCGUCCGGAAUUAUUGGGCGUAAAGGGUACGCAGGCGGUUUAAUAAGUCGAAUGUUAAAGAUCGGGGCUCAACCCCGUAAAGCAUUGGAAACUGAUAAACUUGAGUAGUGGAGAGGAAAGUGGAAAUCCUAGUGUAGGGGUUAAAUACGUAGAUAUUAGGGGGGAUACCAGUAGGGAAAGCGACUUUCUUGACACGAACUGAAGCUGGAGUACGAAAGGGUGGGGAGCAAACAGG